Molecule: ribosomal RNA, 411 nt
Filed under: Mizuhorchestia urospina
Lineage: Eukaryota; Metazoa; Arthropoda; Malacostraca; Amphipoda; Talitridae
Description: partial 16S ribosomal RNA
Source: RNAcentral
GUAGCGUAAUCAUUUGUUUUUUAAUUAAAAACUGGUAUGAAAGGUUUAACAAGUAAAAUAAGUUUUAAGUAAUAAGAUAAAAUUUAUAAUUUAUGUAAAAAUACAUAAGUGAAUAAAAGGGACGAUAAGACCCUAAAAGCUUUAUUAUUAAAUAUUUUUUAUUAUUGUUAAUAUUUGGAGGAUGUAAAAUAAUUUAACUGGGGUAGUUGUUUUUUUUACAAAUAUUUUUAUUAACAGUUAGGGUUGAAGGUCCUUUAUAUCAGGAUAGUUAGUAAAAGUUACUUUAGGGAUAACAGCAUAAUAAUAAUGGGGAGCUCUUAUUUAUAUUAUUGAUUUUGACCUCGAUGUUGAAUUAAAUUUCUUUAUAAAGUAGAAAUUAUAUUUGAAAGUUUGUUCAACUUUUGAAAUUUU